This 253-nucleotide ribosomal RNA is filed under the name uncultured bacterium. Its description in RNAcentral is "partial 16S ribosomal RNA". It matches the Rfam family "Bacterial small subunit ribosomal RNA", at positions 524 to 776 of the family's 1533-position model. The record is from RNAcentral.
UACGAAGGGGGCUAGCGUUGCUCGGAAUCACUGGGCGUAAAGCGCACGUAGGCGGCUUUCUAAGUCAGGGGUGAAAUCCUGGAGCUCAACUCCAGAACUGCCUUUGAUACUGGAGAGCUUGAGUCCGGAAGAGGUGAGUGGAACUCCGAGUGUAGAGGUGAAAUUCGUAGAUAUUCGGAAGAACACCAGUGGCGAAGGCGGCUCACUGGUCCGGUACUGACGCUGAGGCGCGAAAGCUAGGGGAGCGAACGGG